UGUCAAAUUCGAAUUUCAAAAAUCUUUUUCACAGGUGGAAGAAAUGUUAUAUCGCGCAGAUUUCUAAUUAGAAAGUGAAAACAAAAAUUAUGUUCGAUAGUGACAUUUUUGUGUUCGGAUCCAAAAUAUUCCCGGAAAUAAAGACAGAUCCGAUAACGAGUUUGCCAUUGGAGUUAUCUUGGAAGAUUUUCUCAUAUUUGGAUGGCUUGUCACUACGGACAGCAAUGAAAUCUCACAAAAGGUGGUGUCAUAUUAUUUUAUCAAACAGAAAAUUAAAAAAGAAACUGAACCACUUCGAAAUGGUAGCAAGAUUCGGCUCUGAUAGACUGGUGCAGUUUUACAAGAAGACUAAGAGAAAAUUAAAGAAGGAAACAACAAAAAAUUAUUUGCCAAUUAAUGAAUGUCAUACAUUUCAAGCGAAAAAAUCAACAUUAUUAUACACGAAGAGACAAGCAGAAAGUAUAAUUGUUGUCCAUACUAAACGAUUCAGGCUAUUUUAAGUAUGUUUUUAUAAUUCACGUUAUCAAAAGGGGUUCUAGAGUUUUCUAAAAUGAUUAAAGAAAUUAUUUCAUAUGAUAACGAUUUUAAAUAAUAUUUAGUAGUAAUUCGCAGAAACAUUAGUUUUAUUUUGACAAAUAAUAAAUCACUAAACGCCUAAUGUA
This is a long non-coding RNA of Hyposmocoma kahamanoa, 662 nucleotides long. RefSeq lists it as uncharacterized. Lineage: Eukaryota; Metazoa; Arthropoda; Insecta; Lepidoptera; Cosmopterigidae. The transcript has 3 exons. The record is from RefSeq and is a predicted model, not a curated record.